Molecule: transfer RNA, 77 nt
Filed under: Verrucomicrobiota bacterium
Lineage: Bacteria; Pseudomonadati; Verrucomicrobiota
Description: Verrucomicrobia bacterium tRNA-Glu
Rfam family: tRNA
About the family: Transfer RNA (tRNA) molecules are approximately 80 nucleotides in length.
Source: RNAcentral
GGAGUCGAAGCCACAGCAGACCGGCACCGGACUCUCAAUCCGGCAGGGUGAGGGUGCAACUCCCUCCAGCUCCACCA